This 253-nucleotide ribosomal RNA is filed under the name uncultured bacterium. RNAcentral describes it as "partial 16S ribosomal RNA". It matches the Rfam family "Bacterial small subunit ribosomal RNA", at positions 524 to 776 of the family's 1533-position model. The record is from RNAcentral.
UACGUAGGGUGCAAGCGUUAAUCGGAAUUACUGGGCGUAAAGCGUGCGCAGGCGGUGAUGUAAGACAGGUGUGAAAUCCCCGGGCUUAACCUGGGAACUGCAUUUGUGACUGCAUCGCUGGAGUGCGGCAGAGGGGGAUGGAAUUCCGCGUGUAGCAGUGAAAUGCGUAGAGAUGCGGAGGAACACCGAUGGCGAAGGCAGCCCCCUGGGCUAACACUGACGCUCAGGCACGAAAGCGUGGGGAGCAAACAGG